RNAcentral lists this non-coding RNA (30 nucleotides) under Rattus norvegicus (Norway rat). The record is from RNAcentral. Lineage: Eukaryota; Metazoa; Chordata; Mammalia; Rodentia; Muridae.
UGCCAACAGCAAGGCAAGGUGCACACCGAC